GCAAGUCCAAGUACACGUCCUUGAACGACGGAAACUGCGAACGGCUCAUUAAAUCAGUUGCGAUCUACUCGGCGUUCCGCGCCGCCGGAUAACCGUAGUAAUUCUAGGGCUAAUACGUGCGAAGCGCCCGAAGCCGCGAGGCGACGGGCGUUCUCGCCGGAUGUAGGAACCGACCCGGGGACCGCCGGGGCAACCCGGCGCCCCCGAGACGGGGCGAACCACGGUGAAAUGACGGAUCGUCGGCCCCGCGCCGGCGACUCGCCGAAUGAGUUUCUGACCUAUCAACUCGAGACGGCGGGGUAGAGGCCCGCCGCGGUAACGACGGGUAACGGGGAAUCAGGGUUCGAUUCCGGAGAGGGAGCCCGAGAAACGGCUACCACUUCCAAGGAAGGCAGCAGGCGCG
Molecule: ribosomal RNA, 403 nt
Filed under: uncultured eukaryote
Lineage: Eukaryota
Description: bacterial SSU rRNA
Rfam family: Eukaryotic small subunit ribosomal RNA
Source: RNAcentral